Molecule: transfer RNA, 77 nt
Filed under: Acidobacteriota bacterium
Lineage: Bacteria; Pseudomonadati; Acidobacteriota
Also listed under: 4 other names
Description: Acidobacteria bacterium (activated sludge metagenome) tRNA-Val
Rfam family: tRNA
About the family: Transfer RNA (tRNA) molecules are approximately 80 nucleotides in length.
Source: RNAcentral
GGGCGCUUAGCUCAGUUGGUUAGAGCGCGUGCUUCACACGCACGAGGUCAUAGGUUCGAGUCCUAUAGCGCCCACCA